RNAcentral lists this long non-coding RNA (2914 nucleotides) under Sus scrofa (pig). RNAcentral describes it as "lncRNA (ENSSSCG00015054433.1)". Lineage: Eukaryota; Metazoa; Chordata; Mammalia; Artiodactyla; Suidae. The record is from RNAcentral.
GCUGAUUCUGUGUCUGGCAUGGGGUUGGGACCCAGUGAAUGUGAGCAGUUAAUUGUUUCCUGAUGCUACCUACCAUCCUUUAAAGGAGAUGAGAGGGAGUUCCCAUUGUGGAUCAGCAGGUUACAAACUCAACUAGUAUCAUGAAGAUGUGGGUUAGAUCCCUGGUCUCUCUCAGUGGGUUAAGGAUCUGGUGUUAUGUAGCUCACAGAGGUGGCUCAGACCUGGCGUUGCUGUGGCUGUUGUGUAGGCAGGCUACAGCUCCAAUUCGACCCCUAACCUGGGAACUUCUGUAUGCUGCAGGUGUGGUCCUUAAAAGAGGAAAAAAAAAAAAAGAUGAGAGACAGAUCCUGAAAAGUCAGCCAAUGGACGAAAGUGAGGAGAACUUGCUGUGGGUAAUGCCCUGACCUCCAUCCCUGCCAUGGGCUCAGGAAGAUUUAUUUUGCAGCAGCCAAGGGCCUAUCUUGUGUGCUGGGACAACGAGCCUGGAGAUGGGGGCUGGACAUGCUUUUCCAUCUCCUUUGAAUCUCCAUAUGGGCAUUGAUGGCUGCCCCUGUCCCUGAGCAUUUGGAGGUGGCCUGAGGGGGACCCUGGAGUUGUCCAAUGAAGGCUGGGCAGAGGGAGGGGGAUUUGCCCAAAGAACAAUGUAGCAACUGACUUUUCCUAAAAACUGCUAGUGAAAACCUCUGUCCUGCCCUCUCCCAGCCAGCACCUUCUAUCAAGAAUCCCAAGGGAAGGAAAGGGACAGGGAAGACAGAGCCAAUCAGACCGAUGCCUAAUGGUGUUUGGCUUUGUCCUCGAAUGGCUCUGCAGGUCCCCUGUGAGCCUGUGUGUAGGAAAUGAUCUUUGCUCCAAAUAAAGACUUCAGUGGCUUCUUUUUCUGCUGAAUUUGAGGCUCAUUCUCAGACGUCAGUGCUUUACUGUGAGAACAAGCUACAACCUCCAGCAAAAAGGAAGAGACAGUGGAAGAGGCAGCCCAUGGGCCCAGUGUAGCAGCAGGUAGGGUGACUGACUCAGGUUCCCCUAGGACUUGGCUGGUUUUUGUUCUUAAAGUCCCCAGAUCUCCUUGGAAGCAGUGCUGAUCCUCUGAACGACCCUUGUGUCUUUUGAAAACCAUGCUGACAGCCCAGCCUCACUCCAAGCUCAUGCCUCCAAACCCUCAGGAGCAGGAUCCAGGGAUCUGAAUUUUUUACAAGUUGCCCUGGAGGGAGCCAGUCUGUUGUCAGGCAAGGCGAUGGGAGAGAGCAGUCCCUGGGCCCCCUGCCCAUCACUGUGAGUGUCGUGUCCUGUCCAGAAGAAGUGGUCUAAACGUAUCCCUACGAUGGGCUUUCUUAGGGGAGGAAAGGUGGAGGAGGGGUGGGAAGAAGCUCUCACUCCUGUUCGGAGACCCAGAACUGGUUGGGGGUGGAGGUGUGGGUGAGGGUGGCCUGUUGAGCCCAUGUUGCCAGAUAACAUUUAAGAUUUUCUUUUCACCCUGUAUGGGCAUCUGCAGCUUUCUACAAGGGGCUUCCUUUGAUAGAAGCUUCAAGAACUGGAAAGGCUGAUUUGGAGUUCAUUCAUUCAUGCAUUUGUUCACAUGUUCCAUGUUCAUCAGGCAUUUAUCGGACACAUGUUAUGUACCAGUGUUGUUCCCAGUUCCAGGAACCCAUGGUGACCUAGGCUGACGGGGUCCCUGGGUCCCUCCAUGGUGGAAUUUUUGAUUCCAGCAGGGUCUGUAAAGCAACAGAGAGAUCAAAAAGGGCAGCCAGCACCUGAUGUUUGAACGUUUUCCAUGGGCUCCUCUCCAGAUCCUCUCUCCACCCUUCCUCACCCUGCUCUGUGCUCUAGGAGGCUGCCUGGUCACCCGCUGGAGCGUCCUUCAACCGCUGGCUUCUGCCUGGAUAGGCGAGGGGGAGGCACAGUGAUCGGAAGAAGUGGGAGGGAAGUUGGGGAAAUUGAUGCCCUGACUUCCUCCUUGCAGAGUCUCUGAGGGCGGGGGCUGCCUCCCUCCAGCAAGACGCCCACCAGUGGUCCUCUCCUUCCUUGUGGGCCUGGGGAGGUAAAGCCUCCUCAGCAAUACCAGCCCCUGGAGGCUGCACCGGCUCUUCUGGGUCUCGAUCCUUCUCUCGCUCCUAUGAAUACCCCUUUAAUAAACUGUCUUCAGUUACUGCCUGGAGUGUACCAUCUUUUUCCUUCCAGGACCCUCACUGCAGCAGUCCUAAAGUGCAUCCACAUUCCAGAAAAUAACAACUCAAUUCUCCAGACAAGUGUGCUCAUCUUAUUUUUAAAGAGACACCCACGUCACUGCUAAAGGAACAUCUAAUUUAUGAUUGUAUCUGUGAGCUCAGUUUUAUAAAACAAUGCGUUGACCAUUAAGAAAUGGAAAUGGCUAACAGACUGGAAAAAUCAUCUUCACUGGAAUAAAAUAAGUGACAAGUCAUUGAAAAGUGAGACCUUAUUUUUACCCUCUCAGACAAACCCUGUGAUGGAGGUCUAAGUGGGUCACUUAAGGGACUGUUAUCAAAAGCCUUAGCAUUUUUAUUCUUAUGCAUCAAGCAAUUCUUUGGUUGAGCGUGUCCACUUAAGGAAACAUUCAAAAACAAAGGUUUUAUGGACAGAGAGGUUCAUCACAGUUUUAGUUAAUACUAAAAAAAUAUAGAAAAUAGAAAUAUUCUGUAAAAGAAGGUUGGUUAAAGAAAUGAUGUUAUGUCCAGGAGGGAAGUGGUUAAGUGUAUAGACUUAGACAAAACCUCCUCUGGUUACACCUUCUGUCACAGUGCUAAGUGCUUUGUGUGUCUUGAGCCAUCCAGUCCUCCCAACGGAAGCCGUGGGAGGCAGGAGCAUGGGGGAAAGUGCUCAAUGAAUGAUCAAUUAUGCCUUGUGAAAUAAGUCGGGCAGGGAAAGACAAACACCAUAUGACAUCCCUUGUAUGUGGAAU